CAGAGGGCGCGAGCGUUGUCCGGAAUCACUGGGCGUAAAGGGCGCGUAGGUGGCCACUAUAAGGCCGCGGUGAAAGUUCGGGGCUCAACCCUGAAUCUGCCGCGGCGACUGUGGGGCUUGGGCACUGUAGAGGCAGAUGGAAUUCCGGGUGUAGCGGUGGAAUGCGUAGAGAUCCGGAAGAACACCGGUGGCGAAGGCGGUCUGCUGGGCAGUGGACCCGUGAGGGUCCAAUAGCCGACACUGAGGCGCGACAGCGUGGGGAGCAAACAGGAUUAGAUACCCUGGUAGUCCACGCCGUAAACGAUGGGCACUAGGUGCUCCGGGGAGCGACCCUUGGAGUACCGGCGCUAACGCAUGAAGUGCCCCGCCUGGGGAGUACGGCCGCAAGGCUG
Molecule: ribosomal RNA, 392 nt
Filed under: uncultured organism
Description: bacterial SSU rRNA
Rfam family: Bacterial small subunit ribosomal RNA
Source: RNAcentral